Molecule: ribosomal RNA, 292 nt
Filed under: uncultured bacterium
Lineage: Bacteria
Description: partial 16S ribosomal RNA
Rfam family: Bacterial small subunit ribosomal RNA
Source: RNAcentral
GUGUCAGCAGCCGCGGUAAUACAGAGGGGGCUAGCGUUAUUCGGAAUUAUUGGGCGUAAAGGGCGCGUAGGCGGCCUUGCGUGUCUUCCGUGAAAUCCCUCGGCUCAACUGAGGACGUGCGGAAGAAACUGCGAGGCUCGAGUCCGGGAGAGGAGGGUGGAAUUCCCAGUGUAGCGGUGAAAUGCGUAGAUAUUGGGAGGAACACCGGUGGCGAAGGCGGCCCUCUGGACCGGUACUGACGCUGAUGCGCGAAAGCGUGGGGAGCAAACGGGAUUAGAUACCCCCGUAGUCC